CGUGCGCGGCGUCGGAGCAAGCGGCCCCUUCCUUCGGCCCCGCCCAGCCCCGCCGGCCGCCCGCUCCCUGGGGAACCGAGGGAGGAAUGGGCGGGGUCCUCAGGUGCCCGGCGACGUCAUCCAGCCCCCAAGGCUCCAGGACGCAAAGGGUCCCCUGAUCUGGCAGUCCCUGGACCUACCCUGGAGAGCGUGGGGGGACAAAGGCCGGACGCGCCGCCCGCUGCCGCCUCCAGGAAGCCCUCCCUUGCCAGGACAGUGGAGUUGGCCGGGUCCUUCCAAAGUGCCUACGGAAAGCUUUGUCCCAUCCUUGAAAAAUUGCUAAUGGGUUUGGAGAUACGAGGUGGAGAUGACUAGCAAUCAAACUCAAAGGUGGAAGUCACAUCGAGGCAGAUGAGCAGAUGAGGGGACCUAGAGAAGAAGAGAGGUGCAAGGAGAGCCCAGCCAGCAGGAACAUCUGCCCCAGUAGGCAGCACUGCCCCACAUCAGAGUCGAGGAAAGCAAAGCUCGGAUUGGAUAAAAGAAACUUGCAAACACGGUCAGUGCUUACUGCAUGUGGGCUCAGAGCACGUUACCCUCCUUCCCUGCAUGUUCCUGUGAAACGGGUUUACUGCUCUAACUCUCAGGGACACUGUGAAGACCAAACGAGAAAAUAGAAACAAACAUAAUUUAUAAACCAUAAAGUACUGACACCAAAAGAGGGGCGAGCACAGCAUUGUGAAUGUGCUGGUACUAAAUGGUUUGUUUUAAGAUGAUUUUAUGGUGUGUGAAUUUCACUUGAAUAAAUUUUUUUAAUGGAGUUCA
Molecule: long non-coding RNA, 801 nt
Filed under: Homo sapiens (human)
Lineage: Eukaryota; Metazoa; Chordata; Mammalia; Primates; Hominidae
Description: HSALNT0350539
Source: RNAcentral